RNAcentral lists this ribosomal RNA (530 nucleotides) under Aspergillus flavus var. columnaris. RNAcentral's name for it is "eukaryotic LSU rRNA". The stretch from base 154 to 307 matches the Rfam family "5.8S ribosomal RNA". The record is from RNAcentral. Lineage: Eukaryota; Fungi; Ascomycota; Eurotiomycetes; Eurotiales; Aspergillaceae.
CUCCCACCCGUGUUUACUGUACCUUAGUUGCUUCGGCGGGCCCGCCAUUCAUGGCCGCCGGGGGCUCUCAGCCCCGGGCCCGCGCCCGCCGGAGACACCACGAACUCUGUCUGAUCUAGUGAAGUCUGAGUUGAUUGUAUCGCAAUCAGUUAAAACUUUCAACAAUGGAUCUCUUGGUUCCGGCAUCGAUGAAGAACGCAGCGAAAUGCGAUAACUAGUGUGAAUUGCAGAAUUCCGUGAAUCAUCGAGUCUUUGAACGCACAUUGCGCCCCCUGGUAUUCCGGGGGGCAUGCCUGUCCGAGCGUCAUUGCUGCCCAUCAAGCACGGCUUGUGUGUUGGGUCGUCGUCCCCUCUCCGGGGGGGACGGGCCCCAAAGGCAGCGGCGGCACCGCGUCCGAUCCUCGAGCGUAUGGGGCUUUGUCACCCGCUCUGUAGGCCCGGCCGGCGCUUGCCGAACGCAAAUCAAUCUUUUCCAGGUUGACCUCGGAUCAGGUAGGGAUACCCGCUGAACUUAAGCAUAUCAAUAAGCC